GGGUGUAAAGCUCCUUUCGUCAGGGAAGAUAGUGACGGUACCUGGAGAAGCAGCUGCGGCUAACUACGUGCCAGCAGCCGCGGUAAUACGUAGGCAGCAAGCGUUGUUCGGAGUUACUGGGCGUAAAGGGUGUGUAGGCGGUUCUUUAAGUUUGGUGUGAAAUCUCCCGGCUCAACUGGGAGGGUGCGCCGAAUACUGAGGGACUAGAGUACGGGAGAGGAAAGUGGAAUUCCUGGUGUAGCGGUGAAAUGCGUAGAUAUCAGGAGGAACACCGGUGGUGUAGACGGCUUUCUGGACCGUAACUGACGCUGAGACACGAAAGCGUGGGUAGCAAACAGGAUUAGAUACCCUGGUAGUCCACGCCCUAAACGAUGCAUAUUUGGUGUGGGCAGUUCAUUCUGUCCGUGCCGGAGCUAACGCGUUAAAUAUGCCGCCUGGGGAGUACAGUCGCAAGGCUGAAACUCAAAGGAAUUGACGGGGGCCCGCACAAGCGGUGGAGCAUGUGGUUCAAUUCGACGCAACGCGAAGAACCUUACCUGGCUCGAACGGCUUCUCAACGCCGGUAGAAAUACUGGUACCCCGCAAGGGGGUGGAGUCGAGGUGCUGCAUGGCUGUCGUCAGCUCGUGUCGUGAGAUGUUGGGUUAAGUCCCGCAACGAGCGCAACCCCUGUCCUGUGUUGCCAUCAUUCAGUUGGGAACUCGCAGGAGACCGCCAGCGAUAAGCUGGAGGAAGGUGGGGAUGACGUCAAGUCCUCAUGGCCUUUAUGUCCAGGGCUACACACGUGCUACAAUGGACGGUACAAACCGCAGCAAACCCGCGAGGGGGAGCCAAUCGGAAAAAACCGUUCUCAGUUCGGAUUGCAGGCUGCAACUCGCCUGCAUGAAGCUGGAAUCGCUAGUAAUGGCAGAUCAGCGCGCUGCCGUGAAUACGUUCCCGGGCCUUGUACACACCGCCCGUCACAUCACGAAAGUGGAUUGUACUAGAAGUCUGCAGGCUGACCCGCAAGGGGGGCAGCGGCCCAAGGUAUAUCCAGUAU
Molecule: ribosomal RNA, 1037 nt
Filed under: uncultured bacterium
Lineage: Bacteria
Description: bacterial SSU rRNA
Rfam family: Bacterial small subunit ribosomal RNA
Source: RNAcentral